Molecule: transfer RNA, 74 nt
Filed under: Bacteroidales bacterium
Lineage: Bacteria; Pseudomonadati; Bacteroidota; Bacteroidia; Bacteroidales
Also listed under: 1 other name
Description: tRNA-Pro
Source: RNAcentral
CGGGAUGUGGCGCAGUUGGCUAGCGCACCACGUUAGGGACGUGGGGGUCGGAUGUUCGAGUCAUCUCAUCCCGA